This is an RNA transcript of Cuculus canorus (common cuckoo), 1466 nucleotides long. It is a transcript of the gene named IQ motif and SEC7 domain-containing protein 2-like, with no coding region annotated. The transcript is spliced from 6 exons. The record is from RefSeq and is a predicted model, not a curated record. Lineage: Eukaryota; Metazoa; Chordata; Aves; Cuculiformes; Cuculidae.
UCUGCCCCCGCCCCGCAGCCCCGCAUCCUCCCGUCCCCGCCAUGGCGGCGGGCCCGGCUCCCCGCGCGCCGCCGUAGGAGGGGAAGGAGCGGAGCCGGCGCGGGGCCGGUUUCCGGCGGGUUAUUUAUUCCUUCCCUCGCACUUUAAGUUCCCAGCGGAGCGGGCGGGCCGGCACCUGCGCCCCGCGACAUGGAGAGCCCGGCCGAGAACCCCAGCAAGGCGGCCGAGUACCUGAAGGAGCUCAACAAGAUCAUCGAGACGCAGCAGGAGCUGCUGGAGAAGCAGAAGCGCCGGAUCGACGAGCUGGAGCAGCAAGUGGCCAAGUUGUACCACGAAAACGCCUGCCUGCAGGACGAGCAUCACCGGCACCUGGCGGCAUGCAGGCUGCAGCCCGUGCCCCCCGCCUUCCCGGCCGUGCUCGGCGCCAUCCAGGAGAACGCCAGGCACGAGAAGUCUGAAGGUGACAGUUCAAGAAGCAUCAGGUAUUUACAAAGCAGGAAGCAGCGAUUCCAUCAGUGUGCUCGGUUUCCCCACCCAAUGUCUUUAAAUACUCUGCACCAGUUUUGCUGUCCAGCUCCAUUGUACCAUACCCAGCUAGCUGUCCCUGCCACACACUCAGAGUACAGUGAUACCUGUGAAAACAAAAAGAUAAUGCAAAGGAUGUUAUAGUACCAAAGAAAUCCCAUCAUUUUCUUGCAGUCUCUACCUGCUUAAUGUUUAAUCACCACCUCUGGGAGCUUGCUAUUUAGUUUAAAGGAAGUGACCACUCGUGGUUGUAUUACUGAUAAAGAAGUGACCUCGUACAAGCUUCCUGCUAAGCCGGCAUCCCUUCCUCCACCCGCCAUAAAGCACAUUAUAGCAUUACAGAUGUAGGUAUUCCAAACUGCUUCUUUGAUAGCCUUUGUGCCUUCUGGUUUGUAGCACCAUUCAUGAUGCUGGCAACUGUGCAUGGCAACAGAGUUCUUCCUUCUACUUGAAAAGAAGAUGGGGGGAGGAGUAAAGGGCAGAUCUGUUAAUCAUCAAUAUUUCUGUGUGUAAAUCACUAGCAGAAGGGGAAUGCAUCCGUUCUGCAUUUUUGGUGGAAUAUGGGCAGUGAAAAUACCUGUGGAAAGUUUCUUUUAAAGGUGUUAAAAAGAAAGGGGUGUAGCCACAGUAUACAUAUACAGGUUAUAUAUAUGACUUAAUGUCAUAUUUCUUUUGGGAAGAACAGAAAUUGUCCUUCAAAAGAGCUUUUGCCUCAGAGUUUAACUCUAAGCAUUGGCCUGGGUUCAUUUGUUUGUUCUUCAUUGUGUUGAAAGUCUUGUCUCUGAGAUUGAAAUGGGUUAAUCAGAUGCUACAUACAAACAAGUUUAACUAUUUGUGGAUUUAAAAGCAAAACCAAAAAAAUCUCAAGCUUAAUUUUCCUAAUGCUGUUCCCUAUGAUUCUGUUCCUCUGUCUCUUUUCUUUCUUGCCCCCUCCUCUUCCU